Molecule: long non-coding RNA, 340 nt
Filed under: Sorghum bicolor (sorghum)
Lineage: Eukaryota; Viridiplantae; Streptophyta; Magnoliopsida; Poales; Poaceae
Description: long non-coding RNA (SBIC_LNC013934)
Source: RNAcentral
GCUUCUUCUCCCUUGAUGGAACAAUGAAUUAGGGUUGAGAGGCUCUCUCCUCCAGGGGCCAGGGGGUCUGGUUUUAUAGUCCCUCCAAGUAAAUAUGGGCCCUUGGAUCAAACCGACAUAGAUUGUAUGGUUUAGAUUCAUCCUUUAGGUCGGUGGAGAUCUCCCGCAAAGCAGAGUCCUGAUUGGACUCAGGAGGUGGGCGGGCGCCCUGACCAACUGGGCGGCCGCCCAGGGUCUGACCCCGUUUUGCCUCCGCUUCGGUCUCGUGGCUUCUGGAGUCUUCUAGAUGUAAGAUAAUUGCGCGGCACGUUAAUAUCUCUAUGUAAUCCUGACAUGUGGG